UGCAAGUCGAGCGGAACGAUCCUAGCUUGCUAGGAGGCGUCGAGCGGCGGACGGGUGAGUAAUGCAUAGGAAUCUGCCCGGUAGUGGGGGAUAACUUGAGGAAACUCAAGCUAAUACCGCAUACGCCCUACGGGGGAAAGCAGGGGCUCUUCGGACCUUGCGCUAUCGGAUGAGCUUAUGUCGGAUUAGCUGGUUGGUGAGGUAACGGCUCACCAAGGCGACGAUCCGUAGCUGGUCUGAGAGGAUGAUCAGCCACAUCGGGACUGAGACACGGCCCGAACUCCUACGGGAGGCAGCAGUGGGGAAUAUUGGACAAUGGGGGCAACCCUGAUCCAGCCAUGCCGCGUGUGUGAAGAAGGCCCUCGGGUUGUAAAGCACUUUCAGCGAGGAAGAAUGCUUGUCGGUUAAUACCCGGCAAGGGAGACAUCACUCGCAGAAGAAGCACCGGCUAACUCCGUGCCAGCAGCCGCGGUAAUACGGAGGGUGCGAGCGUUAAUCGGAAUUACUGGGCGUAAAGCGUGCGUAGGCGGCUUGAUAAGCCGGUUGUGAAAGCCCCGGGCUCAACCUGGGAACGGCAUCCGGAACUGUUAGGCUAGAGUGCAGGAGAGGAAGGUAGAAUUCCCGGUGUAGCGGUGAAAUGCGUAGAGAUCGGGAGGAAUACCAGUGGCGAAGGCGGCCUUCUGGACUGACACUGACGCUGAGGUACGAAAGCGUGGGUAGCAAACAGGAUUAGAUACCCUGGUAGUCCACGCCGUAAACGAUGUCGACUAGCCGUUGGGGUCCUCGAGACCUUUGUGGCGCAGUUAACGCACUAAGUCGACCGCCUGGGGAGUACGGCCGCAAGGUUAAAACUCAAAUGAAUUGACGGGGCCCGCACAAGCGGUGGAGCAUGUGGUUUAAUUCGAUGCAACGCGAAGAACCUUACCU
This 927-nucleotide ribosomal RNA is filed under the name Halomonas elongata. Its description in RNAcentral is "bacterial SSU rRNA". It matches the Rfam family "Bacterial small subunit ribosomal RNA", at positions 56 to 976 of the family's 1533-position model. The record is from RNAcentral. Lineage: Bacteria; Pseudomonadati; Pseudomonadota; Gammaproteobacteria; Oceanospirillales; Halomonadaceae.